UUCUGUUCCCUCUCUUCAUCUCCAGCAAAGUGCUCUGCUAGGGCACAACUUCCGUUCGUCUCCGAGCUACCAAAACCCUUCCUUUUUCCAGUUUCAGCUCACUGUCACAGUUCUUGGGGCUGUUGUGCUACAUAGUUAGGGUCUGGUUGUUGUUGGUGCUCAAACAAGAUGGGAAUGCUUCUGGAGGUAGGCUUGAUGGUGGUAGCAGUGCAGCCUAGUGGGCCCGUUGAGGUGGCUUUCGAAGAAGUUCUAUGGCCCUAGUGCCUUGUAAUUCCAUGCUCCUAGAGCAUUUCUUUUGCACAACUGUUAAACUUUAGAUUUAUGUUUCUUAUGGCAUGGUUGUAUGUCCAGGUUUUCCUCUAAGUACUCCUAUGGAUGACUGUAAUAGUUACUUUCCGUACGUUUCAUGUUGAUCGGAUUGGUUCUCGUUAUCAAAAUGUUGUGAUGCUUAUUUGGUAGAGUAAUCUAUUAAA
Molecule: long non-coding RNA, 473 nt
Organism: Vigna unguiculata (cowpea)
Lineage: Eukaryota; Viridiplantae; Streptophyta; Magnoliopsida; Fabales; Fabaceae
Source: RefSeq, a predicted model, not a curated record